UAGCGCGCAGGACCUCCGGAGCGUAGGUCAGAGGUUCCUCUCCGCCAGGACUAAUAUCUGCUGAGAGCCUUCCAGGUGCUCAGCCAAGUGCUGUGACGAAACGAAGGUGAAAUAAGUCCAGAUUCCUGAAUUGAGACUCUAAUGUUCCCAACUUUGGUGAGGUGCCCAAGCCUGGUGCUGUGUUAGAGGACAAAAUCCCACGUUCCAGUGAACGUUCAGGAGGAACGAGAGAGAGAACUAGGCGGCAGGACUAUACGUGAGCAGGACAGGACAGCACAUUGAAUGAUGUCUGCUCCAAUGAGAAGCAGGGUCCACGCACCAGAGACAACACCAAGCAGAUGACUGCUUCUUCUUCCCCUUUCUGCCCCAUAGUACUGCUCUGUCAGCUUGCUUCCCCUUAAAUCACCUGUGCCAGGAGGACCACCCUAGUAGUCAGAUGCCAUAAUCAGAGUGUGUGGCCUUCACAGUGUCAACAGCUGGACUCAAAGGCAUAAAAUGAAGGUAAAAAUAAAGCUGAUUCUAGGCAGCAGUGGCUCAGUGCCUCAGUGGGUCCCUAGUGAAUUCUUUUGCCCCAGAGUGCUGAGCUUCAAGACAGUGGUUCUCAACUUUGGCUGCACAUUAGAACCAUCUGGGAAGCUUUAAAAUAUGGUGAUGCCUGCAUUGGUUGAGCAUCCCACUCAACCAAUUGAUUUUGGCUCAGGUCAUGAUCCCAGGGUCGUGGGAUCGAGGCCUGCAUUGGGCUCCACACUGAACAUGGAGCCUGCUUAGGAUUUAUUCUCUCUCUCUCUCUCUCUCUCUCUCUCUCCCUCCCUCUCUCUCUCCCUCUCUCUCCCCCUCUGCCCCUCUCCCACACUUGCACUCGCUCUCUAAAAUAAAAAGUUAAAAAAACUCCAAUGCUUGUGCCCCACCCCAGAAGUUAUGAUUAAAUUGGUCUAGGGUGUGGCUUGGGCGUUGGGAGUUUUGAAAGCUCUCUAGGUGCUUUUAAAAGCCAAGUUGAUGGCACAAAAACAGACACACAGACCAAUGGAAUAGAAUAGAAACCCCAGAACUAGACCCACAAACGUAUGGCCAACUCAUCUUUGACAAA
This is a long non-coding RNA of Prionailurus viverrinus (fishing cat), 1087 nucleotides long. RefSeq lists it as uncharacterized. NCBI's taxonomy places the organism in Eukaryota, Metazoa, Chordata, Mammalia, Carnivora, Felidae. The record is from RefSeq and is a predicted model, not a curated record. The transcript is spliced from 4 exons.